This 519-nucleotide ribosomal RNA is filed under the name uncultured bacterium. RNAcentral's name for it is "partial 16S ribosomal RNA". It matches the Rfam family "Bacterial small subunit ribosomal RNA", at positions 29 to 507 of the family's 1533-position model. The record is from RNAcentral.
ACGAACGCUGGCGGCGUGCCUAAUACAUGCAAGUCGAACGCACUCUCGUUUAGAUUGAAGGAGUUUGCUCCUGAUUGAUAAACAUUUGAGUGAGUGGCGGACGGGUGAGUAACACGUGGGUAACCUGCCCUAAAGUGGGGGAUAACAUUUGGAAACAGAUGCUAAUACCGCAUAAAACCUAACACCGCAUGGUGUAGGGUUGAAAGAUGGUUUCGGCUAUCACUUUAGGAUGGACCCGCGGUGCAUUAGUUAGUUGGUGAGGUAAAGGCUCACCAAGACCGUGAUGCAUAGCCGACCUGAGAGGGUAAUCGGCCACACUGGGACUGAGACACGGCCCAGACUCCUACGGGAGGCAGCAGUAGGGAAUCUUCCACAAUGGACGAAAGUCUGAUGGAGCAACGCCGCGUGAGUGAAGAAGGUUUUCGGAUCGUAAAACUCUGUUGUUGGAGAAGAAUGUAUCCGAUAGUAACUGAUCAGGUAGUGACGGUAUCCAACCAGAAAGCCACGGCUAACUACGUG